GCAGCGGUGCUUUGGCUCAAUGGUAGAGUGUCUGCUUCACAUGCAAAUGGUCCCAGGAUCAGUCCCCAGUACCUGCA
RNAcentral lists this transfer RNA (77 nucleotides) under Sphaerodactylus townsendi. RNAcentral describes it as "tRNA-Val". Lineage: Eukaryota; Metazoa; Chordata; Lepidosauria; Squamata; Sphaerodactylidae. The record is from RNAcentral.